Molecule: transfer RNA, 108 nt
Filed under: Amphiamblys sp. WSBS2006
Lineage: Eukaryota; Fungi; Microsporidia; Amphiacanthidae
Description: tRNA-Phe
Source: RNAcentral
UCCAUUAUCGUCUAGUGGCUAGGAUGCGACCAAAACUAAAAAGGUUUGGGUUGGAUGGGUUGGAAGAACUAAUCGGUCGAGACCGGGGUUCAAUUCCUCGUAAUGGAG